This 77-nucleotide transfer RNA is filed under the name Alphaproteobacteria bacterium. RNAcentral's name for it is "tRNA-Ile". It matches the Rfam family "tRNA". From Rfam's summary of the family: Transfer RNA (tRNA) molecules are approximately 80 nucleotides in length. Their secondary structure includes four short double-helical elements and three loops (D, anti-codon, and T loops). The record is from RNAcentral. RNAcentral also lists the same sequence under 8 other names. Lineage: Bacteria; Pseudomonadati; Pseudomonadota; Alphaproteobacteria.
GGGCCUGUAGCUCAGUUGGUUAGAGCAAACCGCUCAUAACGGUUUGGUCGUAGGUUCGAGUCCUACCGGGCCCACCA